UGGGGAAUAUUGCUCAAUGGGCGCAAGCCUGAUGCAGCAACGCCGCGUGAACGAUGAAGGUCUUCGGAUCGUAAAGUUCUGUUGCAGGGGAAGAUAAUGACGGUACCCUGUGAGGAAGCCCCGGCUAACUACGUGCCAGCAGCCGCGGUAAUACGUAGGGGGCUAGCGUUAUCCGGAUUUACUGGGCGUAAAGGGUGCGUAGGUGGUCUUUCAAGUCGGUGGUUAAAGGCUACGGCUCAACCGUAGUUAGCCUCCGAAACUGGAAGACUUGAGUGCAGGAGAGGAAAGUGGAAUUCCCAGUGUAGCGGUGAAAUGCGUAGAUAUUAGGAGGAAUACCGGUGGCGAAGGCGACUUUCUGGACUUUUACUGACGCUCAGGUACGAAAGCGUGGGGAGCAAACAGG
RNAcentral lists this ribosomal RNA (403 nucleotides) under Verrucomicrobiota bacterium. Its description in RNAcentral is "Verrucomicrobia bacterium partial 16S ribosomal RNA". It matches the Rfam family "Bacterial small subunit ribosomal RNA", at positions 355 to 776 of the family's 1533-position model. The record is from RNAcentral. Lineage: Bacteria; Pseudomonadati; Verrucomicrobiota.